Molecule: ribosomal RNA, 547 nt
Filed under: uncultured soil bacterium
Lineage: Bacteria
Description: bacterial SSU rRNA
Rfam family: Bacterial small subunit ribosomal RNA
Source: RNAcentral
GCUAGCGGCAGGCCUAAUACAUGCAAGCCGAACGGUAAGUUUUGUAGCAAUACGAGACCUAGAGUGGCGUAAGGGUGCGUAACACGUAUGCAAUCUACCCGCAACAGGAGGAUAGCUCCCCGAAAGGGGAAUUAACCCUCCAUGAGAUCACGGUGCGGCAUCGCAGAGUGAUUAAAUCUGAGGAGGUUGUGGAUGAGCAUGCGUCUGAUUAGCUAGUUGGCGGGGUAACGGCCCACCAAGGCGAUGAUCAGUAGGGGAACUGAGAGGUUGAUCCCCCACACUGGCACUGAGAUACGGGCCAGACUCCUACGGGAGGCAGCAGUAGGGAAUAUUGGUCAAUGGGUGAGAGCCUGAACCAGCCAUGCCGCGUGCAGGAAGAAGGCCUUCUGGGUUGUAAACUGCUUUUGCCAGGGGAUAAAAAGACCUUGCGAGGUUAAUUGAAGGUACCUGGUGAAUAAGCCACGGCUAACUACGUGCCAGCAGCCGCGGUAAUACGUAGGUGGCAAGCGUUGUCCGGAUUUAUUGGGUUUAAAGGGUGCGUAGGCGG